UACGUAGGGAGCGAGCGUUGUCCGGAUUCAUUGGGCGUAAAGAGCUCGUAGGCGGUUCGGUAAGUCGGGUGUGAAAUCUCCGUGCUCAACACGGAGCGGCCACCUGAUACUGCCGUGACUCGAGUCCGGUAGGGGAGUGUGGAAUUCCCGGUGUAGCGGUGAAAUGCGCAGAUAUCAGGAAGAACACCAAUGGCGAAGGCAGCUCUCUGGGACGGUACUGACGCUGAGACGCGAAAGCGUGGGGAGCGAACAGG
This 254-nucleotide ribosomal RNA is filed under the name uncultured bacterium. RNAcentral describes it as "partial 16S ribosomal RNA". It matches the Rfam family "Bacterial small subunit ribosomal RNA", at positions 524 to 776 of the family's 1533-position model. The record is from RNAcentral.